GCCACAAGGGAGGACUAGCAAACAGAGUGUUCUGUUGUGGUCAGGCCCGGGAGAGCUGUCUCCAGCGUGGCAUGGAGAGCGGCCAGAAGGGCCCCGGGAGCCUCUGGAACGACUACCUCCUACCUCUUUCACCCAGUGGCCAGGUCAUCCCUGGGCCUCUUCGGCUGCAGUUAGAAACCUCAAGGGGUUUUGGGACUCCCUGUGUUCUAAGGCUGACCUUGGGUUAUCUGGUCUCCUGACUCCACCUCACCAGUGCUCCACAAGGACAGGUGAUGAAGGAAAAGCCCGGACGUCUGGCUUCCCUGUGUUCCAGGCUUUUGCUGGGCUCCUCUGAGUGAAAUACUGGCCAAACAGAGCUCAUCCGGAAAGCCCAGGACCCAAAUAGCCUACCUGCUUCCUCUGCCUUGGUCAAUCCCUUUCUCAGUGAGCUGUGUUUAGGAGAACUGUUGGUCUUACCCCAGGGCCAGUCCCCAAGCUAGGACCCUAGCCAGUGUCCAGGAAGUGAUUGGGGACCCCUCGCCUUCUCUGGGCAAGUGCCGGCAGGAGUCAUUGCUGCUGAUGGAAGAGACCUUAAUCAAGAUAGGAUCCGUAGGGGCUGGAGAGAUGGCUCAGAGGUUAAGAGCACUGUCUGCUCUUCCGGAGGUCCUGAGUUCAAUUCCCAGCAACCACAUGGUGGCUCACAACCAUCUGUAAUGAAAUCUGGCUGCAGGCA
Molecule: long non-coding RNA, 712 nt
Organism: Arvicola amphibius (Eurasian water vole)
Lineage: Eukaryota; Metazoa; Chordata; Mammalia; Rodentia; Cricetidae
Exons: 3
Source: RefSeq, a predicted model, not a curated record